RNAcentral lists this ribosomal RNA (490 nucleotides) under uncultured bacterium. RNAcentral's name for it is "partial 16S ribosomal RNA". It matches the Rfam family "Bacterial small subunit ribosomal RNA", at positions 30 to 507 of the family's 1533-position model. The record is from RNAcentral.
AUUGAACGCUGGCGGCAGGCCUAACACAUGCAGGUCGAACGGUAACAGGAAGAAGCUUGCUUCUUUGCUGACGAGUGGCGGACGGGUGAGUAAUGUCUGGGAAACUGCCUGAUGGAGGGGGAUAACUACUGGAAACGGUAGCUAAUACCGCAUAACGUCGCAAGACCAAAGAGGGGGACCUUCGGGCCUCUUGCCAUCGGAUGUGCCCAGAUGGGAUUAGCUAGUAGGUGGGGUAACGGCUCACCUAGGCGACGAUCCCUAGCUGGUCUGAGAGGAUGACCAGCCACACUGGAACUGAGACACGGUCCAGACUCCUACGGGAGGCAGCAGUGGGGAAUAUUGCACAAUGGGCGCAAGCCUGAUGCAGCCAGGCCGCGUGUAUGAAGAAGGCCUUCGGGUUGUAAAGUACUUUCAGCGGGGAGGAAGGGAGUAAAGUUAAUACCUUUGCUCAUUGACGUUACCCGCAGAAGAAGCACCGGCUAACUCCGUG